This is a long non-coding RNA of Mandrillus leucophaeus (drill), 1152 nucleotides long. RefSeq lists it as uncharacterized. NCBI's taxonomy places the organism in Eukaryota, Metazoa, Chordata, Mammalia, Primates, Cercopithecidae. The record is from RefSeq and is a predicted model, not a curated record. The transcript is spliced from 2 exons.
GCAUCCCAUUUAGAGAAUUCGGGGAAGGUUCCCUGCAAGCUUCUGUGGGACCACUAGCGCCAGUGGGCACAUCGAGAGCAAACACAUCGGAGACACAUUUUUCUUUCUUUGUGAACUCUGCCUUAACUCAAAGGUUCCUGUCAUAAUUUAAAGAGAAACUUUCACAAUGUCUGGAGCCCUUGAUAUCCUGCAAAUGAAGGAGGAGGAUGUCCUUAAUUUCCUUGCAGUAGGAACCCACUUAGGUGGCACCAACUUUGACUUCCAAAUGGAACAGUACAUCUAUAAAAGGAAAAGAGAUGGCAUCUACAGCAUAAAUCUGAAGAGGACUUGGGAGAAGCUUCGGCUGGCAACUCAUGCCAUUGUUGUUAUUGAAAACCCUGCUGAUGUCAGUGUCAUAUCCCCCAGGAAUACUGGCCAGAAAGCCAUGCUGUAGUUUGCUGCUGCCACUGGAGCUACUCCAAUUGCUGACUGCUUCACUCCUUGAACCUUCCUAACCAGAUACAGGCAGACUACUGGGAGCCACAGCUUCUUGUGAUUUCUGACCCCAGGACUGACCACCAGUCUCUCAGAGGGGCAUCUUGUGUUAAAUCACCUGCCAUUGCUUUGUGCAACACAGAUUCUCCUCUACGCCAUGUGGACAUUGCCAUCACAUGCAACAACAAGGGAGCUCCCUCAGUGGGUCAGAUGUGGUGGAUGCUGGCCUGGGAAGUUCUCCCCAUGGGCGGCACCAUUUCCUGCAACACCCAUGGGAGGUCAUGUCUAAUCUCUACUUCUACAGAGAUCCUGAAGAGAUUGAAAAAGAAGAGCAGGCUGCUGCUGAAAAGGCUGUGACCAAGAAGGAAUUUCAGGGUAAAUGGACUGUUCCAGCUCCUGAGUUUACUGCUAUUCAGUCUGAAGUUGCAGACUGGUCUGAAGACAUGCAGGUACCCUCUGUGCCUAUUCAGCAGUUCUUACUGAAGACUGGAGCGCUCAGCCUGCCACGGAAGACUGGUCCACAGCUCCCACUGCUCAGGCCACUGAAUGGGUAGGAGCAACCACUGAAUGGUCUUAAGCUGUUCUUGCACGGACUCUUAAGCAACAUGAAAAUAAGGUUGACAGAAAAUAAACAUCAGUUUCUAAAAAAUAAAGAAUAAAAUUCUGUGAUGCAAAGAC